AUGCUUUUAGCUGAGAAAGGAGGUGUGUGCACCAUGAUAGGCCCUAUGUGCUGUACUUUCAUUCCCAACAGCACUGCACCAGAUGGCUCAGUAACCAGAGCUUUGGAGGGACUGAAAACUCUGUCCUUAACAAUGGCCGAACACUCUGGGAUAAACAACCCAAUAGAUGAAUGGUUCACUAACUAUUAUGAUAAUGGAAAGUCUUCCCUGCCCAGCAACAGCCCGGGUGGGACAAAGAAAGCCAUUGUAGCUGAAAGAUACAGGAUUCUUAGCCACACUCCAGGAAGUAUCACCAACCGCACUACCUGCCUGCCCUCCUGCCAUCACCACCCCUCGCAGGGGCCUGAAAACUCAGCAGUUACACAACAAUUAAGCUCUAAAGUUGGAGGUAAAGUCACGUUGCCUUGUGUAAAUGGAAAAGAUUUUCACAAUCGAUAUAACAGUACUACUUGGCUCUUUUCCGACUCAGCAAGCAAAACGACAGUAACACUGUUUGAACAUGGGCAGAUAUCAAAAGAAAAUGGAUCCAAAUCAGGCAGACUGAGUGUUACACCGAAGUGUUCUCUGAUCAUAAAGAAGGUCAGAGCUGAGGACGCUGGUGGUUACAGCUGCAGGCAGUUCAUAUCAGGACAGCAAGUUUCAGAGUCUCUGACUUACCUGUUUGUUACUAACGAAGGGGACACAACAAAAGGAAUAAUUACAUCAACAACAACCAAAAAUGCAACAUCAGCAAAUGUCCCUAAAUCUAAAAGCGCUACAUCAACCACAAGAACAACAACUUCAUCAGUGACUAACACAUCUAUGACAAGUAAAACCAAUUCAACCACAGAAUCAGAGAAAACCUCAAACACAGUUCAAACCAAAAACAUGCUGAUCAUUUUAGCGGGUGGUUUUCUAGUAAUCUUCAUAAUCCUGGCACUCAUUGGAUGGAAGAGAAAUAAAAGGAACAAAAGACAGAAGAGUGAUGAAAUUGCUGAUUCUGCUCUCUAUGAUACCAUUGGUAACACAAACGAGACCUCCAAAGCCCCAGCUAAUCCUGCAGCUGAUCUUUCCUAUUCCUCCAUUAAGAAGACCAGGAAUAAAACUCGGGUUCACAGUAAUUACCAUAAAGAUGAUGCACAGACUUUCUCCAUCUUUGACAAAGCCUCCAAUGAUGAUAACAGGAUCUACAUGAACAUGAAAAGCAUACAAAAAGCCAGGGGCAGUUAUUUUUAAUGAUCAGAAUAUGCUUUAUAUUAUUUGAUAUUACUGUGAUGAUCAUUUAGGAACCUACCUACAUCAUCUUUUUUUUUUCAAAAUGAAUCAUAAAGACAAAUUCUAAAAUACAAAACAACAAAGCCCCCCCCCAAAAAACAACAAGUUAUACCUAUAAUUGUAACAUUUUUCCUUUUUCUGACAUCUUAUGUUUAAUAUAAAAAUGAGAUAUUAUCUGUCAGUUUACUUUGCGUGAUCUGAAUUCCAAACUUUGCUAACAGCCAAAACAUUUUACACUUUUAAUUUUUUUUGCUAUAUUUUGAAUAAAUAUUUAGUCAGGGUUUGAAUAACAUAUGAAUUUGGGACUGAAUAAUUUAUAUUGGGAAAACAAUGUUUGAAGAUAUGCAUUGUAAAACUGGAAAAAAAAGAAAAGCCACAUUAUGGGUCAAAAGAUGAACUCGAACUGUGUAUUUCUGUGUUGCAUUUUAUACAAUAAAUAAUAAUAAAUUUUUGAUAUGCUGUGUUUUAGCACAAGGUAUUAUCUUGUUAAUUGUUUAAAUGCAUUUUUAUAAAUGAAGUAGACAAAGUAUUCCUAAAGAUUGAACUACAAGUAUAUUUUGAAUGUUUUCUCUAAGUCUAAAAGAAGACAUAUUACUGAUGCAGCACAACAUUUGCUUUCCCCUGUAGUAUCUCUCCUUGAGAUUGUCACAUUUUCAACAGCAGUACUGAUAAGAAAAAUUGCAAACAUUUUUAUUGGCGCUGCAUGCUUUAAUCUAGAUUGGUGCUGUAUAAAGUGUAGAUUAAGUGCAGUUUUUGCGACUUGCUAAUUGCAUAGUUUCAAAUUGUGAGACUGAUGUGGAAUCUUUUAAUUGUUCAACUCUAUUCAAAAGUAAAUUUGAUUUAAUGUACAUUUUAAGAUAAAUUGUUUUUUGUGGCGGGUUGUGGUUAGCGGUGCCGCGGCAGGGAAGGCGUAUGCACCUGUGUGGCUUCGCAAUCACACCUCGCCAGCUUAAGAACGGUGUAGUGUUCUGUUGUGUUGUUGUUGUGGAUAUGUGUGGCUUUCAUGCCUCAUUUCUGCCACAUUUUUAUUUUAGUUUCAGAAGCAUUUAAAACUUGUCUGUUUGGUGUAUUUUCUCUACAAGAAUGAGUACUGACAAUGACAAAUAAUAAAAGAUCAAUCAAA
Oreochromis niloticus (Nile tilapia) is the source of this 2377-nucleotide long non-coding RNA. RefSeq lists it as uncharacterized. NCBI's taxonomy places the organism in Eukaryota, Metazoa, Chordata, Actinopteri, Cichliformes, Cichlidae. The record is from RefSeq and is a predicted model, not a curated record. The transcript is spliced from 10 exons.